UUUCUUCAACCCCUCGCUCACGAAACCGAGUCAGAGCAUGACUCGACGCCGCCGCGCUUCCGAUCUUCCUCGGAUCGUGAUCCUGAGUCGCCCCCUCGUCCAAGAAGGCGCCCUAUAAAUAGCCAUGCCUAUCCUCCUUCGACCCCCUUAAACCCCGAGUCCAAAACCCUACCCACACCACGCCACCUCCGUUCGGAUCUCGUCGCCGCCGCCACAGUCCGCUGCCGUUUCCGACUCCGACCGCACCGGAGACGUCACCCCGAGCUCGUCCGCCGACCGCUGCACCGCCUCGCCCUCGUCACCUCCAGUUGCUCCCGAGCUCCACCAAGACCACCACCGAGUCGCCCUCGCCGAGACGCACCUCCCCGACACCUUCGCCGACCUCCCCGACCACCGGAGCCGCCGCCACCUCGACGCCGAGCCGCGUCACCGUCGUCACCGCCGCUAGGCUUAUUCCGACCAGGAGUGAGGCUACGCUCUAUGCUCGGUGAUUGCCCUAUGGAGUCGGAUGGACUCGCUGUCGUCUACGUCUUCCGCAGUAGUUUAUCUCAUGAGUUGGCCUUCGGCUGAAUUUAUUCUAUUGUAAUAAAGACUCUAUAUGAGAUUCGAUGUAAUAAAGCAUGUGUGAUUGCACUUUGGUAUAUUCA
Long non-coding RNA from Triticum aestivum (bread wheat), 647 nucleotides. RefSeq lists it as uncharacterized. The record is from RefSeq and is a predicted model, not a curated record. NCBI's taxonomy places the organism in Eukaryota, Viridiplantae, Streptophyta, Magnoliopsida, Poales, Poaceae. The transcript is spliced from 3 exons.